AUGAUAUCAUGUGAAGAGGCAGAUAAGAGAGGCUCAGAAGAGCUCACUGUAGAAAUGAACCUUAGGAGAGAGGUGUCGAACAUGGUCUUGGUCUUAGGCCUCCUGGUCUUCUGUCACUUCUCGGGUUCCCUCUCCCAGCCUGUGUUGACUCAGAUAUCCUCUGUCUCUGCAUCUCCUGGAUCUUCUGCCAGACUCAUGUGCACACUGAGCAGUGGUUUUAAAGUACCUGGAUAUCAUAUAUCCUGGUACCAGCAAAAGACAGAGAAUGCACCUCAGUUUCUGCUAAGAUACUACUCAGAAUCAGAUAAGUACCAGGGACCUGGGGUCCCCAGCCGCUUCUCUGGAUCCAAAGAUGCCUCAGCCAAUGCAGGGAUUUUACUCAUCUCUGGACUUCAGCCUGAUGAUGAGGCUGACUAUUACUGUGGAACAUAUCAUGGCAACACUGGCAUUAACACAGUGAUCCGGACAUAG
Non-coding RNA from Castor canadensis (American beaver), 471 nucleotides. The record is from the annotation of a RefSeq genome assembly. NCBI's taxonomy places the organism in Eukaryota, Metazoa, Chordata, Mammalia, Rodentia, Castoridae.